CAGUCAUAUCACGUUGAAAUAUUGGUUUCCGUACGAUCUCCGAAGUUAAGCGACGUCGAGCUUGGUCAGUAGCUAGAUGGGUGAUCGCUUGCGAAUACCAGGGGCUGCAA
Acanthosepion pharaonis is the source of this 110-nucleotide non-coding RNA. Lineage: Eukaryota; Metazoa; Mollusca; Cephalopoda; Sepiida; Sepiidae. The record is from the annotation of a GenBank genome assembly.